GUGGGGAAUAUUGGACAAUGGGGGGAACCCUGAUCCAGCCAUGCCGCGUGUGUGAAGAAGGCCUUUUGGUUGUAAAGCACUUUAAGCGAGGAGGAGGCUACCGAGAUUAAUACUCUUGGAUAGUGGACGUUACUCGCAGAAUAAGCACCGGCUAACUCUGUGCCAGCAGCCGCGGUAAUACAGAGGGUGCAAGCGUUAAUCGGAUUUACUGUGCGUAAAGCGCGCGUAGGUGGCCAAUUAAGUCAAAUGUGAAAUCCCCGAGCUUAACUUGGGAAUUGCAUUCGAUACUGGUUGGCUAGAGUAUGGGAGAGGAUUGUAGAAUUCCAGGUGUAGCGGUGAAAUGCGUAGAGAUCUGGAGGAAUACCGAUGGCGAAGGCAGCCAUCUGGCCUAAUACUGACACUGAGGUGCGAAAGCAUGGGGAGCAAACAGGAUUAGAUACCCUGGUAGUCC
This 451-nucleotide ribosomal RNA is filed under the name uncultured bacterium. Its description in RNAcentral is "partial 16S ribosomal RNA". It matches the Rfam family "Bacterial small subunit ribosomal RNA", at positions 354 to 796 of the family's 1533-position model. The record is from RNAcentral.